CGGCCGGUCUAACACAUACAAGUCGAGGGUCGAACCGAGUUCUUGCACUUGGGGAAACCGGCGAACGGGUGAGUAACACGUGAGGAACCUUCCCUGUACACCGGGAUAACCGCGGGAAACCGUGGCUAUUACCGGAUGCUCCACCUUGAUCGCAUGAUCGGGGUGGGAAAGCUCAGGCGGUACAGGAGGGCCUCGCGGCGUAUCAGCUAGUUGGUGGGGUAAUGGCCCACCAAGGCUACGACGCGUAGCUGGAGUGAGAGCUCGAACAGCCACACUGGGACUGAGACACGGCCCAGACUCCUACGGGAGGCAGCAGUGGAGAAUCUUGUGCAAUGGGCGAAAGCCUGACGCAGCCACGCCGCGUGCGGGAAGAAGGCCUUCCGGGUCGUAAACCGCUUUCAGGAGGAAGAAGCAAAGGCGGUCCUCA
RNAcentral lists this ribosomal RNA (427 nucleotides) under uncultured bacterium. RNAcentral's name for it is "bacterial SSU rRNA". It matches the Rfam family "Bacterial small subunit ribosomal RNA", at positions 40 to 464 of the family's 1533-position model. The record is from RNAcentral.